RNAcentral lists this ribosomal RNA (253 nucleotides) under uncultured bacterium. RNAcentral describes it as "partial 16S ribosomal RNA". It matches the Rfam family "Bacterial small subunit ribosomal RNA", at positions 524 to 776 of the family's 1533-position model. The record is from RNAcentral.
GACAGAGGGUGCAAACGUUGUUCGGAAUUACUGGGCGUAAAGCGUGCGUAGGCGGUCUCAUAAGUCGGGUGUGAAAGCCCUGGGCUCAACCCAGGAAGUGCAUUCGAUACUGCCGAGCUUGAGUCCUGGAGAGGAAGGCGGAAUUCUCGGUGUAGAGGUGAAAUUCGUAGAUAUCGAGAGGAACACCAGUGGCGAAGGCGGCCUUCUGGACAGUGACUGACGCUGAGACGCGAAAGCGUGGGGAGCAAACAGG